Molecule: small RNA, 28 nt
Filed under: Bombyx mori (domestic silkworm)
Lineage: Eukaryota; Metazoa; Arthropoda; Insecta; Lepidoptera; Bombycidae
Description: ovarian small RNA-33491
Source: RNAcentral
UGCACUUGUCUAAGUCUUCUAACAGUGA